AGUGAACGCUGGCGGUAGGCCUAACACAUGCAAGUCGAACGGCAGCACAGUAAGAGCUUGCUCUUACGGGUGGCGAGUGGCGGACGGGUGAGGAAUACAUCGGAAUCUACUUUUUCGUGGGGGAUAACGUAGGGAAACUUACGCUAAUACCGCAUACGACCUACGGGUGAAAGCAGGGGAUCUUCGGACCUUGCGCGAUUGAAUGAGCCGAUGUCGGAUUAGCUAGUUGGCGGGGUAAAGGCCCACCAAGGCGACGAUCCGUAGCUGGUCUGAGAGGAUGACCCGCCCAACGGGAACGAGGAACGGGUCCAACCCCCUAGGGGGGGAAGCAGGGGGGAAAUUUGGAAAAGGGGGGAAAGCCUGACCCAGCCAUACCGGGGGGGUGAAGAAGGCCUUCGGGUUGUAAAGCCCUUUUGUUGGGAAAAAAAAGCAGCAGGUUAAUACCCCGCUGUUCUGACGGUACCCAAAGAAUAAGCACCGGCAAACUUCGU
Molecule: ribosomal RNA, 491 nt
Filed under: uncultured bacterium
Lineage: Bacteria
Description: partial 16S ribosomal RNA
Rfam family: Bacterial small subunit ribosomal RNA
Source: RNAcentral